This 253-nucleotide ribosomal RNA is filed under the name uncultured bacterium. RNAcentral's name for it is "partial 16S ribosomal RNA". It matches the Rfam family "Bacterial small subunit ribosomal RNA", at positions 524 to 776 of the family's 1533-position model. The record is from RNAcentral.
UACAGAGGGGGCAAGCGUUGUUCGGAAUUACUGGGCGUAAAGGGCGCGUAGGCGGCCUUCUAAGUCGAACGUGAAAUCCCCGGGCUCAACCCGGGAACUGCGUCCGAUACUGGAAGGCUUGGAUCCGGGAGAGGGAUGCGGAAUUCCAGGUGUAGCGGUGAAAUGCGUAGAUAUCUGGAGGAACACCGGUGGCGAAGGCGGCAUCCUGGACCGGCAUUGACGCUGAGGCGCGAAAGCGUGGGGAGCAAACAGG